GCAAAAUUCCCAAGAACAACGCUCCCUAGUCCCAAUAUUGAAAUAAAGAUCCAUAAAAAUUCAAUCGUACAAAUUCAAAAUUUAUUCAAGAUUCGGAAUCCUCAUUGCGAGAGCUACAAGGAGCACCUACAAAUCUUACGAAUAGAGUUCCGAAACUGCAAGUUCAUCCGAAGUCCCAAAUUUGAGGUAUGUGGGUGUUGAACAAGAAUAAUCCUUCCGUUCUUGUGCCUAAAACUUGAUUUUUAUAAAGAUUACGUAAAUUUUUAUUUUGAAGUUUAAUCAAAUUUAUCUUAUUUUGAGUUUGUGUAACUAUCCAUAAAUUGAGUAUUUGAAGGCAUUAUAUUUUAUCUUGAUAUGAUUUGAGUUGAGAUAUACAUAUUUUGAUUUAUAUUUUCCUAUUACAAAUUGAUGUUGUUGAAUUUAUUUGAAAUGAGUAUUGAGAAUGAAUUUACGAAAUUUGUGAUAUGAAUUUUGAGUUGUUGAAAUUAUGAUAUUUAUGUCAUAAAUUUAUUCCCAAUACUUUAAUUGAGAUAAGUGACGAUUUUCGAGAUGAUUGUUGAGUAUGAAAUUUAGAUAUGAUUUUGAUGUAUCAAAUCUUUAUAUUUUGGGUCAUAAAUAUAUGUGAUGAAAUUAUAAGGAGAUUUUGAUCUCGAGUCGUGGACAUGAUUUUAUAAGUAUUUCCCAAAAGCAAAGACUGUUGUUUUGAUAUUGAACAAGUAUGGAACUUGAGAUGAUAUUUUGGAAGAUGAAAUCGUUAUAUUUAUGUCAAGGUUGAAAUUAGAUUUUUAUGAUAUUAUGAUUUGGAGUUUUCCUUUAUCAAAUUAUGUACCAAUAUUUAAAUUGAAAUUUAUAUUAUGAUUUUUGAGUUGAAAAGUGGAAUCCACAAUUUAUUAUGAUUCAAUUAUGAGAAAUAUGAUUUCGAUUUCACUAUAGGCCCUUGAGAUUAUUUUGAGGUAGAUUUCCUAAAUGAGACUGAGCUUGAGUACGGGAGUAGUAUUUAGCACUGAGCGGGAGGCGUAGGUGAGCGUACCCUACUUCCCUAGAACUAUGUGCCAUCAUAGGAUUUGAGAUUUGUGGGCCUACGGUCGAGUUUGUGAUCACUGAGUUGAGGUUAUACUCCCUAGCAAGAGUAUGACGCUCCUUCCCAACGUGGGGUUUCUUCCUUAGGAGGAAAAAAUGUUGGACUCCAUGAUAAGCUCACAUGGUUUAUGUCGGUUAUAAGAAACUUCCAUGGGGUGUGUGUCUCUGCUCUAUCUAAAAUAAGUGUGUAUGAUUUGAAAAAUAUGAUUUCUAAGAAAGUUACUUGUUUCCAAAAGAUUGAAAUGUAUGCUCUAAAUAGAGCUGUUUUAAGACUUGAUUACUUUACGAGUUUGAAACCGAGAGAAAAGUGAAUUGAGAACUUAUUGUAAUAACUCACUUGUUUUACUUUACAUGUAUUAUUCCUCCAUGAUUUUGAUGAUUCAAUUCGAGCUAAGUGAGUCAUUUAUAUCAGCAUGCAUAAUUUUAUAAACUGUAAUGAUAUUAAGAUAUUCUGUUAUAUAUACGUUGCACCCCUAUAUGCUCAGUACAUUUCUAUGGUAAUGACCCACAUAUUCGUAUGUGGGCUACAUUUUCUCAGAAUAUAGGUACAAUGUAUAGUAUGCACCUUCAGAUCCAGUCAGUUCGUGGUAUCCAGUCAACAGGUGAUGAUUUCUUUCAUUCAAAGGCUUCAGUUAUUUAUACAGUUCGAGAAUAUGUCGUAUUUCCUUUAUUUAGUCGUAUUGAGUUGGGAUAUUUGGGAGUCAUGACCUGACUACCUAUAGUCAGUACUAGUAGAGGCUUCAUAAGGCUUCAUAGAUAGUCAGUAGAAGUUAAUGUAUUCUGUUUCAGUUUGUUGGAAAAAGCAGAGUUGUAAUUUGUAAAUUCAUGUUAUAUUGAGCAAAUUCAUAAAAGAUUUAUAUUCUGCAUUAUUCUUUAAGAUUUAUCCAUUUUAUUCAGUUUCCUAUGAGUUAUGCCAGUAGGAGGGUUAUCUUGGGGUCACUGGUGACCUUAAUCACUGCGUGACAUCUCGGGACCCAUUUUUGGGGCAUUACAAACUUGGUAUCAGAGCCCAAAGUAGAAGUGUCCUAGGGUGUCUGUGAAACCGUGUCUAGUAGAGUCUUGCGGAACGGUACGGAGACGUCUAUAAUUU
This 2170-nucleotide long non-coding RNA is filed under the name Capsicum annuum. RNAcentral describes it as "long non-coding RNA (CANN_LNC008099)". Lineage: Eukaryota; Viridiplantae; Streptophyta; Magnoliopsida; Solanales; Solanaceae. The record is from RNAcentral.